Molecule: ribosomal RNA, 818 nt
Filed under: Lactiplantibacillus plantarum
Lineage: Bacteria; Bacillati; Bacillota; Bacilli; Lactobacillales; Lactobacillaceae
Description: bacterial SSU rRNA
Rfam family: Bacterial small subunit ribosomal RNA
Source: RNAcentral
AAUACAUGCAAGUCGAACGAACUCUGGUAUUGAUUGGUGCUUGCAUCAUGAUUUACAUUGAGUGAGUGGCGAACUGGUGAGUAACACGUGGGAAACCUGCCCAGAAGCGGGGGAUAACACCUGGAAACAGAUGCUAAUACCGCAUAACAACUUGGACCGCAUGGUCCGAGCUUGAAAGAUGGCUUCGGCUAUCACUUUUGGAUGGUCCCGCGGCGUAUUAGCUAGAUGGUGGGGUAACGGCUCACCAUGGCAAUGAUACGUAGCCGACCUGAGAGGGUAAUCGGCCACAUUGGGACUGAGACACGGCCCAAACUCCUACGGGAGGCAGCAGUAGGGAAUCUUCCACAAUGGACGAAAGUCUGAUGGAGCAACGCCGCGUGAGUGAAGAAGGGUUUCGGCUCGUAAAACUCUGUUGUUAAAGAAGAACAUAUCUGAGAGUAACUGUUCAGGUAUUGACGGUAUUUAACCAGAAAGCCACGGCUAACUACGUGCCAGCAGCCGCGGUAAUACGUAGGUGGCAAGCGUUGUCCGGAUUUAUUGGGCGUAAAGCGAGCGCAGGCGGUUUUUUAAGUCUGAUGUGAAAGCCUUCGGCUCAACCGAAGAAGUGCAUCGGAAACUGGGAAACUUGAGUGCAGAAGAGGACAGUGGAACUCCAUGUGUAGCGGUGAAAUGCGUAGAUAUAUGGAAGAACACCAGUGGCGAAGGCGGCUGUCUGGUCUGUAACUGACGCUGAGGCUCGAAAGUAUGGGUAGCAAACAGGAUUAGAUACCCUGGUAGUCCAUACCGUAAACGAUGAAUGCUAAGUGUUGGAGGGUUUC